UGGGGAAUAUUGCACAAUGGGCGGAAGCCUGAUGCAGCGACGCCGCGUGAGGGAUGACGGCCUUCGGGUUGUAAACCUCUUUCAGUAGGGAAGAAGCGUAAGUGACGGUACCUGCAGAAGAAGCGCCGGCUAACUACGUGCCAGCAGCCGCGGUAAUACGUAGGGCGCAAGCGUUAUCCGGAAUUAUUGGGCGUAAAGAGCUCGUAGGCGGUUUGUCGCGUCUGCUGUGAAAGACCGGGGCUCAACUCCGGUUCUGCAGUGGGUACGGGCAGACUAGAGUGAUGUAGGGGAGACUGGAAUUCCUGGUGUAGCGGUGAAAUGCGCAGAUAUCAGGAGGAACACCGAUGGCGAAGGCAGGUCUCUGGGCAUUAACUGACGCUGAGGAGCGAAAGCAUGGGGAGCGAACA
RNAcentral lists this ribosomal RNA (407 nucleotides) under uncultured Arthrobacter sp. RNAcentral's name for it is "bacterial SSU rRNA". It matches the Rfam family "Bacterial small subunit ribosomal RNA", at positions 355 to 774 of the family's 1533-position model. The record is from RNAcentral. Lineage: Bacteria; Bacillati; Actinomycetota; Actinomycetes; Micrococcales; Micrococcaceae.